This is a long non-coding RNA of Orcinus orca (killer whale), 1775 nucleotides long. RefSeq lists it as uncharacterized. The transcript has 2 exons. Lineage: Eukaryota; Metazoa; Chordata; Mammalia; Artiodactyla; Delphinidae. The record is from RefSeq and is a predicted model, not a curated record.
UCCUUCGCGGCAGCCUCCUGCACAAAUCUUCCCAGCCCCGUCCGCUGCUGGGGGCCGGUAGCUCCUAGGUGGACGGCCCGAGACGAACUCGAGCGUUUGGGCGGUCGGAGCUGAUCCCUCGCCGACCAGCGAUCAGAAUCCAUCCCGCUGACGUUCGAACCCGUUGUCGGGAGCCACCUGGCGGCCAAUUUUAUAUUACCCCUUCCCUUCUGAGCUCUGGCGACCUUCGCGAGGGAUGUGACUCGCCCCCCAGGCGCGGGCCAGAUUUCCUUGAGGCCGGCGACGCUGGCGGCGACCAUCCCGGUGGUGCGGAGUGAUGGGCGCCUCCUGCUCUCACCAGAGAUUGAAUGUGGAGAGAUGUGUGUUGUGGGGCUGGCGCUGAGCUCCCUCGCAGGUUUCUGGGGAGGUCUGCGCCUGUCGACCAGCAGUCUCUGGUGCCCCUUGGCGCCCGCGGAGACCUCACGUCCUGUUACGCGCGACCACGAGAGGAUGUCCGUGACCAGCGUCGUACACCGUGUGUCACGAUCCGUCGGUGCCUCCUCGCCGGCUGGGGGCCCGGGUCCAUCAUGGUGCAGUCCUGGCGGUGGGGCUGCUCAACGGGUUCCACUUCAGUUUCUCCGGAUUCCACUCGAGGCGGUCACGAGGGCGGAUCUUGCCCUGAGGCAGGGGCACAGGAUGCGGGUCAACAGACAGGAGCCACCCGGCAGAUUGAACCGGCGUCUAUGCGGGGAGCUCUCGUCCCCACCUUGGUGGCCUCGUCAGCGUGGCGCUUGCGUUUCGAAACUGUUCAGGUCCCCUCACCUCGGACUUUCGAGGGCAAGCGUGUAGGGCGCUCCUGGAGGGGCGGCAGUUCCUCCUAGGCUACGGUGGUCGUAAGUCGUUGUCGUUUCUCUUUGGGAAACAGGGACCGCCCGGAGCAUCCGUGAUGGUCGGGAGGAGACACGAGCCUGGCCGAGGCCCUGGGUGGGCGCGGUUGUCGGUAGCUUCUCUGAAGAAGCUCUGCAGACAGUGAACGGCCUACAGACGUGCGGGCGCAGGGGAGGACACCCCAGGGCGAGAAAGAGGACCGAUGGUGGCCUGAGUCGAGGCCGGUUGUCAGGAGCGUGGCGUUGCGCCUUCGCCCGUGUGCAAUCUGGAUACUUCCUGUUGAGGUUCACACCAGUUGCACGUCACUUGGCGUCUGCAGCGACAAGGUCGACCAGAAGGCCAGAUUUCGGUAUUCGGUCAAGAAGAAAAUUUAAUGAACUCUUUUUGUCAUGAGAUUCACUACAAUGUGAACAUUAGUGAAAUAAGAAAUCCUAAGAUUUACAAGUCUUUGAUUGGUUGAAGAUGAUGAAGAAGGGUUUUGGGAUGCAGAAUUUUCUAAAUCCACCUGGAAGCCUGGGAACCUCUCCCUCCAGCCACAAGGCCCUGCCCCACACCCUGCAGAAACCAAUCUGGAAAACCAGACUCCAACCUCUGCAGCAAUAGACCCGAAGGGUCAGGAUUUGGUCAGUGACUCACAGCUUCGUCAUUUUCAGUCCUUUCCAUGUAGAACCAAAUGCGGGGAAAGCCAAAUAUAUUCCCUUAAGUAAUCACUUAGGACGACCCUCUUCCUAUCAACUUGUCUCCAGCCUCCUCACAUCAAAAGCUCUGGGGAGCACAUGCCUUCCUUUUUUUGCCAUCAGAAAGUGUCCCCACUCUUAUGUGUGCCCUGAGUCUCAGCCUGAUGUGAGUGGUGGUGGCUGACUCCCGUGCUCUAUAGACAAGUUCUCAGUAAAUAGUGCUUGUUCUCA